UGAAAAUUAGAAACACGGAACUUAUAUAAAGCUACAGAAUAAAUCAAAGUUUUACAGAUAGCUCUCACAGUUUCUCAUUUUCUCUCUCUAGUAGCUCAAAUCUCUCUCACACAACCUAGAAAUUUCAAAGCCAAUUUCAUAGCUCUCAAUCAUGGAAAUUUCGAAGCUCUAGGUCAUGGCAAAUGCAUAGCUAUUGGUCUCUCAACGCGGUGGCUUUGUCUCAUCGUCACUCACAAAAUCGAAGUCGAAGUCUUCCGUCAACUCCUCUACUCUUCGCCUACCUCAUCUAAUCUCCCCCAAUUUUCUAGGGUUUCAAGCUCAAUCGACACGAAGAUCAUUUUGCCUGGUUCAUCUCGAUUCUUCAAUGGAGGAAAAUUCAGUGCAUUUUCAUGUUUUGUUUAUAAAUUUUAGUGUUUGGUUCCUGGGAAAAUUUUAGGGUGAAUAUUUUAAAUUCUCCCUCACUUCCUCUCUCUCCCCAAACCCCCAAGAGUCUACUACAAAGGAUGGUUAAGCUAAUAAAGUUUGCUAUUCUAAGUGGACCAACGAUUCCUAUUAUUGGUGAGGGUGAUGAGGAGGCAAAUGACAGGAGAACUAUGAAAAGGAAUUGAAGGAUGCAGCAGCUAGGGAACUCAUGCAAGCAGAGGAGGUGGCAAUGUUGGAUAAGGCCUUGUCACUGGGAAUUCCUUGUCUAAGUAGACCCCACGCCCUUUGAACAAUUUAGUGAGAGCUUCUUGUGAAAUUUUUCAUAUGCAGGAUAUUUCUUUCUUGUCCUAUCCGCUUCCCAUUGUAACUUCUUCAUAGCUUCAACCUCAUCCCCAAAAGAGUUAUAAAAUAUAAAUUCAGCAAGUUAAGUUUAAAUGUAAAAGGGACUGAGAUGUCUAUGACAUCCCAUAAGAAUUUUUACAAAAUUUGUCAACAUGUAAAAUCCAUAUUAUGGAUGAAUGAUUUUACUUAAUAUAAAUUAAUUAGUCAUUUCCUA
Quercus robur (English oak) is the source of this 979-nucleotide long non-coding RNA. RefSeq lists it as uncharacterized. The record is from RefSeq and is a predicted model, not a curated record. The transcript has 5 exons. NCBI's taxonomy places the organism in Eukaryota, Viridiplantae, Streptophyta, Magnoliopsida, Fagales, Fagaceae.